This 575-nucleotide ribosomal RNA is filed under the name uncultured bacterium. RNAcentral's name for it is "bacterial SSU rRNA". It matches the Rfam family "Bacterial small subunit ribosomal RNA", at positions 60 to 628 of the family's 1533-position model. The record is from RNAcentral.
AGUCGAGCGAGGUUACUGUUUCGGAUCCCUUCGGGGUGAAGAAGCUUUAACCUAGCGGCGGACGGGUGAGUAACGCGUGGGUAACCUACCCCAAAGUCCGGGAUAACAGCGGGAAACCGCUGCUAAUACCGGAUGCCUUUACCUUGGGGCAUCUUGAGGUAAAGAAAGGUAACGCUUUGGGAUGGGCCCGCGUCCCAUUAGCUAGUUGGUGAGGUAACGGCUCACCAAGGCGACGAUGGGUAGCCGGCCUGAGAGGGUGGACGGCCACACUGGGACUGAGACACGGCCCAGACUCCUACGGGAGGCAGCAGUAGGGAAUAUUGCGCAAUGGACGGAAGUCUGACGCAGCGACGCCGCGUGAGCGAUGAAGGUCUUCGGAUCGUAAAGCUCUGUCCUUGGGGAAGAAGGCGAAAGCUUGACGGUACCCAAGAAGAAAGCCCCGGCUAACUACGUGCCAGCAGCCGCGGUAAUACGUAGGGGGCGAGCGUUGUCCGGAAUUACUGGGCGUAAAGGGUGCGUAGGCGGCCCUUUAAGUCGGAUGUGAAAGCCCGCGGCUUAACCGCGGAAUGGCAUUC